RNAcentral lists this ribosomal RNA (443 nucleotides) under uncultured bacterium. Its description in RNAcentral is "partial 16S ribosomal RNA". It matches the Rfam family "Bacterial small subunit ribosomal RNA", at positions 338 to 795 of the family's 1533-position model. The record is from RNAcentral.
CCUACGGGUGGCAGCAGUGGGGAAUAUUUGGCAAUGGAGGCAACUCUGACCCAGCAACGCCGCGUGAAUGAUGAAAGUCUUUGGAUUGUAAAGUUCUGUGAUGGGGGAUGAACACAAUGACGGUACCCCAAUAGCAAGCCACGGCGAAAUACGUGCCAGCAGCCGCGGUAAUACGGAGGUGGCAAGCGUUAUCCGGAAUGACUGGGCGUAAAGGGUGCGUAGGGGGUUUAGUAAGUUGGCGGUGUAAUGCCGGGGCUCAACCUCGGCGCGACAGCCAAUACUAUUAGUCUAGAGUGCAGGAGGGGUAAGUGGAAUUCCUGGUGUAGCGGUGGAAUGCGUAGAUAUUGAGAGGAACAUCAGGGGCGAAGGCGACUUACUGGACUGUAACUGACGCUGAGGCACGAAGGCGUGGGGAGCGAACGGGAUUAGAUACCCUGGUAGUC